This 491-nucleotide ribosomal RNA is filed under the name uncultured bacterium. RNAcentral describes it as "bacterial SSU rRNA". It matches the Rfam family "Bacterial small subunit ribosomal RNA", at positions 28 to 507 of the family's 1533-position model. The record is from RNAcentral.
GAUGAACGCUAGCUACAGGCUUAACACAUGCAAGUCGAGGGGAAACGAUAGAGAAAGCUUGCUUUUUCUAGGCGUCGACCGGCGCACGGGUGAGUAACGCGUAUCCAACCUGCCCACCACUUGGGGAUAACCUUGCGAAAGUAAGACUAAUACCCAAUGACGUCUCUAGAAGACAUCUGAAAGAGAUUAAAGAUUUAUCGGUGAUGGAUGGGGAUGCGUCUGAUUAGCUUGUUGGCGGGGUAACGGCCCACCAAGGCGACGAUCAGUAGGGGUUCUGAGAGGAAGGUCCCCCACAUUGGAACUGAGACACGGUCCAAACUCCUACGGGAGGCAGCAGUGAGGAAUAUUGGUCAAUGGACGAGAGUCUGAACCAGCCAAGUAGCGUGCAGGAUGACGGCCCUAUGGGUUGUAAACUGCUUUUAUAAGGGAAUAAAGUGAGUCUCGUGAGACUUUUUGCAUGUACCUUAUGAAUAAGGACGGCUAAUUCCGUG